AGUCAUAUGCUUGUCUCAAAGACUAACUCAUGCAUGUCUAAGUAUAAGUUUUAUACGGCGAAACUGCGAAUGGCUCAUUAAAACAGUUAUAGUUUACUUGAUAAUCAAAUUUACAUGGAUAACCGUGGUAAUUCUAGAGCUAAUACAUGCUGUAAUGCCUAACUUUUUGGAAGGGCGGUAUUUAUUAGAUAACAACCAAUAUUCUUCGUGUCUAUUAUGAUGAUUCAUAAUAACUUUCGAAUCGCACGGUCUUUGGCCGCGAUAAUUCAUUCAAGUUUCUGCCCCAUCAGCUUUCGAUGGUAGUGUAUUGGACUACCAUGGCAAUAACGGGUAACGGAGAAUUAGGGUUCGAUUCCGGAGAGGGAGCCUGAGAAACGGCUACCACAUCUAAGGAUGGCAGCAGAGGCGUAAAUUACCCAAUCCUGACUCAGGGAGGUAGUGACAAGAAAUAACGAGCCGAAUUUUAUUCGGAAUUGGAAUGAGUCGAUUUUUUUUCCCUUGGUGAGGAACAAUUGGAGGGCAAGUCUGGUGCCAGCAGCCGCGGUAAUUCCAGCUCCAAUAGCAUAUAUUAAUGUUGUUGCAGUUAAAAAGCUCGUAGUUGGAUUUCUGUGAGUGUGCCAAUGUCGUCCCCAGUGAUUGCGCAGAGGCGCCUUGCAUCCUUCGGUAGUUUCCGCACGGCAUUCACAUGCCGGCGGCCGGCUCCGAAUAUUUACCUUGAGAAAAUUAGAGUGUUUCAGCAGGCUAAGCCGGAAUACAUUAGCAUGGAAUAAUAGAAUAGGACUACGGUCUCGUUGUUGGUUUGAGGGACUGGAGUAAUGAUUAAUAGGGAUAGUUGGGGGCAUUAGUGUUUAAUUGUCAGAGGUGAAAUUCUCAGAUUAACUAAAGACUAACUUAUGCGAAGGCAUUUGCCAAGGAUGUUUUUCAUUAAUCAAGAACGAAAGUUAGGGGAUCAAAGACGAUCAGAUACCGUCCUAGUCUUAACCAUAAACUAUGCCGACUCGGGAUCGGGGGCGAGAAAUUAUCAGUCUUCGGCACCGUAUGAGAAAUCAAAGUCUUGGGUUCCGGGGGGAGUAUGGUCGCAAGGUUGAAACUUAAAGGAAUUGACGGAAGGGCACCACCAGGCGUGGAGCUUGCGGCUCAAUUUGACUCAACACGGGAAAACUUACCAGGUCCAGACAUAGUAAGGAUUGACAGAUUGAUAGCUCUUUCUUGAUUCUAUGGGUGGUGGUGCAUGGCCGUUCUUAGUUGGUGGAGUGAUUUGUCUGGUUAAUUCCGUUAACGAACGAGACCUUUGCCUGCUAAAUAGUCACACGCCAUCUUGAUGGUUGUUGACUUCUUAGAGGGACUUUGUGACAAGCAAACGCAAGGAAGUUGGAGGCAAUAACAGGUCUGUGAUGCCCUUAGAUGUCCUGGGCCGCACGCGUGCUACACUGACGCAUACAGCGAGCACUUUCCAGUUCCGAGAGGCUUCUGGUAAUCAUCAAUAUGCGUCGUGAUGGGGAUAGACCUUUGGAAUUCUGGGUCUUGAACGAGGAAUGCCUAGUAAUCGUAGGUCAUUAGCCUACGAUGAUUAAGUCCCUGCCCUUUGUACACACCGCCCGUCGCUACUACCGAUUUCGAGUGGUCAGGUGAAUCUUUUGGACUGUGAAUGGCCCCGAGUUGUUCGCGGAAAGUCAGGUAAAUCUUAUCACUUAGAGGAAGUAAAAGUCGUAACAAGGUUUCC
This 1723-nucleotide ribosomal RNA is filed under the name Spirotontonia taiwanica. Its description in RNAcentral is "SSU rRNA". It matches the Rfam family "Eukaryotic small subunit ribosomal RNA". Lineage: Eukaryota; Ciliophora; Spirotrichea; Tontoniidae. The record is from RNAcentral.